This 63-nucleotide ribosomal RNA is filed under the name Neofusicoccum batangarum. RNAcentral describes it as "partial 28S ribosomal RNA". It matches the Rfam family "Eukaryotic large subunit ribosomal RNA", at positions 1 to 62 of the family's 3401-position model. The record is from RNAcentral. Lineage: Eukaryota; Fungi; Ascomycota; Dothideomycetes; Botryosphaeriales; Botryosphaeriaceae.
UUGACCUCGGAUCAGGUAGGGAUACCCGCUGAACUUAAGCAUAUCAAUAAGCGGAGGAAAGGA